GAACAUGUAGGAUUUUUAAGAUUUAAAGAGAUUGGAGACAAUAGUUAAUGAAUAUUAAAAGAAUACGAAGCAGAUGAUGAAAAAUGAUUCGAGCAAAUUAGUGCAACACAGAGCUAAGCGAGAUAAAAAUAUCAAUCAAUGCAGAAUGAAAGAAGAAUGAGCAGGGUUAAGUUAUUACACAAGCCAAAACUAAGACAAAUCAAACGACAGAACGUGAAAACAAAUGUAAACAAGACAAGAGGAGAUGGUGAAGAUAAAAUGCAUUGAAAAAUUGAAUGCUAGAUUAGUAAGCAAGAGACAAAAAUAUAUUAAAAUGCAAAAACUCCGCGCCUUGGAUUAUUCCUGAGGCGACACGUCAGCGGUCUGUGGAUCCCACUUUUAAAAAGUGUGAAAAUUGUCAAGACUGUUGCUCGAACCCGGGUUAUUGAGAUAUAAACACCACCAUUUAUACCACUAAACUAAAUGAUACUUUGUACAUUGCUGGCCGAAACUAAUAUAUAUUUAUGAUAGGAGAGUUUACUCUGUACACGUAUGAUUUCGGUUUAAGUUCCAUAAAAAGCCCAAGUCAGGUGUAAGGCGAUUUGGCCAAUGUUUAGUUAUAUGGCCUAUUUUGAAAAAAAGUCUGACGUUUUAUGUUUUUGUCGAGGAAAAUGUGCCGUUUUUUAUUCAUUAAACGAGUAACGAAUAGGUUUUCAGAGGUUUCUUCUUCAUCGACCCUUCAAUCUCACCAGCCCUGCUGCUUUUCCUAAUCCUGUGAAAAAACGAGUCUUAAUCAACUCGUUACCUUCCAACUCUUUUCAUAUCUAUUAAUUAUUUUCCCUGUAUUCAACGUAUACCUCUUAAAUUUUAGAAUAAAUGUUUUUCUUUCAUUGAAGCCAUUUACUUAAACUCUCCUUCUCCCUUUCUGAUACAAUGAAACCGAAAAAUUCACUUCAACCCUUAUAAAUUGGAGAAGGUUGAUAGCCGGAUGGAUCUUCACAGACGUUCUCAGUUUAUCUUCUAUCUUCAAUUGGAGAGGGAGCUGCUCAUCUUCAAUUGAGCAUGAUUAGACAAAUGUUCAAGCACUGCUUCUAACUUUUCUCCUACGCUCACACCCAUCACAUUUUCAUUAGUUUUUUUCUCCUGCACUUAUGAGUUUUGUAUUGUUUUAAUGUCAGUACUGAUCGUUAUGUUGGACAUGGCUAUGAUAACCGAGACCUGGAAGCCUGCUUUGACGAUAUCAUGAAGGAAGAGAGACGAAGUGCGAGAAUCGCAAGGGAGGAAGAUGAAAUGGAAGCAAAGCUGAUCGCAGAAGAAGAAGAGCGAGAGAGACAGAGAAAGUUGCUGAAGCUGAGGCGUAAGAAAGUUAGAAGAAAGAAACCUUUUGAUCAUCUUUGUCUUCUUUUUUAAAUAUAUGACAAGUUUAAUCUUUAGUGCUUCUCUCAUUCAAAUCUCUUUGGAGAAUAGUGUGUUCUUGAAACUGUACAAUUAGAUAAUAAUUAUAUUUAUUAAGUCACUCGAGUAAUCUGUUGGUGACCUUCCAAGUUGGUGAAAGCCUGAUUAUUUUCUAUGUGUAAAACCAGAGAAUGAAAAGAGAAAAGAAUAUAUCUUUAUUCA
Long non-coding RNA from Brassica napus (rape), 1596 nucleotides. RefSeq lists it as uncharacterized. NCBI's taxonomy places the organism in Eukaryota, Viridiplantae, Streptophyta, Magnoliopsida, Brassicales, Brassicaceae. The transcript has 2 exons. The record is from RefSeq and is a predicted model, not a curated record.